Molecule: ribosomal RNA, 484 nt
Filed under: uncultured bacterium
Lineage: Bacteria
Description: partial 16S ribosomal RNA
Rfam family: Bacterial small subunit ribosomal RNA
Source: RNAcentral
AUUGAACGCUGGCGGCAGGCCUAACACAUGCAAGUCGAGCGGAUGAAGGGAGCUUGCUCCUGGAUUCAGCGGCGGACGGGUGAGUAAUGCCUAGGAAUCUGCCUGGUAGUGGGGGAUAACGUCCGGAAACGGGCGCUAAUACCGCAUACGUCUUGAGGGAGAAAGUGGGGGAUCUUCGGACCUCACGCUAUCAGAUGAGCCUAGGUCGGAUUAGCUAGUUGGUGGGGUAAAGGCCUACCAAGGCGACGAUCCGUAACUGGUCUGAGAGGAUGAUCAUUCACACUGGAACUGAGACACGGUCCAGACUCCUACGGGAGGCAGCAGUGGGGAAUAUUGGACAAUGGGCGAAAGCCUGAUCCAGCCAUGCCGCGUGUGUGAAGAAGGUCUUCGGAUUGUAAAGCACUUUAAGUUGGGAGGAAGGGCAGUAAGUUAAUACCUUGCUGUUUUGACGUUACCAACAGAAUAAGCACCGGCUAACUUCGUG